GAGGAAGACCAUGCUGUGGGCCCGGCCGUGUUUGAUGAAGGUGAACUAUGACCCUGGAGCUGCUUGCACUGACGUUUAAAGCUUGGACUGCGUUUUGUCCCCCCGACAUGGAAAAUGUGUUCCAGAAGUAAUUAUCCGGAGAUACGGAGGUGGAACCUAGCGCCUGGCCUGCUGUUUCUCCACAGAGUGAAGUGUUGGAGUUAGCGGACGGUUGCCGAUGAUAAUGACGGAAAUUGACUGCAGGUGUGUGUGAGCACCAAGCUGCUCUGUUUGGCUGUUUCAGGCACAGAGGCAACACUGUUCUCAGCUCUG
Long non-coding RNA from Anguilla anguilla (European eel), 312 nucleotides. RefSeq lists it as uncharacterized. The transcript has 3 exons. NCBI's taxonomy places the organism in Eukaryota, Metazoa, Chordata, Actinopteri, Anguilliformes, Anguillidae. The record is from RefSeq and is a predicted model, not a curated record.